RNAcentral lists this ribosomal RNA (421 nucleotides) under uncultured bacterium. Its description in RNAcentral is "partial 16S ribosomal RNA". It matches the Rfam family "Bacterial small subunit ribosomal RNA", at positions 360 to 774 of the family's 1533-position model. The record is from RNAcentral.
AAUCUUCCACAAUGGACGAAAGUCUGAUGGAGCAACGCCGCGAGAGUUAAUAAGGAUUUCGGUUCGUAAAACUCUGUUGCGAGGGAAGAACAAGUACGAAGUAAAUACUCGUACCUUGACGGUACCUCGUUAGAAAGCCACGGCUAACUACGCGCCAGCAGCCGCGGUAAUACGUAGGUGGCAAGCGUUGUCCGGAAUUAUUGGGCGUAAAGCGCGCGCAGGCGGUUUCUUAAGUCUGAUGUGAAAGCCCACGGCUCAACCGUGGAGGGUCAUUGGAAACUGGGAAGCUUGAGUGCAGAAGAGGAGAGUGGAAUUCCAUGUGUAGCGGUGAAAUGCGUAGAGAUAUGGAGGAACACCAGUGGCGAAGGCGACUCUCUGGUCUGCAACUGACGCUGAGGCGCGAAAGCGUGGGGAGCGAACA